CAGGAACGUUUCACCCGUCUUGCAGACAUUACAGAACAUCGGAGAUAAAGAAAUGCGGAAGCUAUUACAUAAACUUACAUUUAUUUAGAAAGUAAGAUCAAGUUACUUAUUACAGACCAGAGCUAUAAAACGAGUGCUGAGUAGUACACAUUUCAAGGGAGGCAAAAACUCCUCCCGAUAGCUUUAAACAAAAAGUCCUAUAUGGAGGACCACAUCCUCCCGCAUCUUCACUCUUGUUUUUCUUCAUUUGAUACCACCUUGGAGCAAAAGCAACAAAAAUUUGUCGCUUCCUCACCUAAAAACAACAAAGGGAUAAACCCUGAGUAUGGAAUUACUCAGCAAGUCUUACCCGACUAAGAAAAAGACUCUCAAGGGUAUGCUGGAUAAAUAGGAGUCAAGGAGAGGCUUUAGCAAAAAUCAACUUAUACUUUUGCAGAAGUAGCUUACUAAAGUGAGUCCUUACUUUCAAUCUUUUAACGCCAUAUUAAGUAUUAAUAGACUCUAUUUGCAUCUAGUCUAAUUUCACAUCACAUCAAGACAACAUCGUUUUUAUCCAUCGUGUUCACCUCCUGACUUAGGUUGUAGGUCGGAGCUCAAGUCUCCACUGUCCGGGGAUAUAACGGCGAUCCGAAUCGAUUUACUCAGCUGAGGAUUUCUAACCACACGACAUAUGUUUCUCGUAAACCUUGAUGUCUACUAUUCCCACGGAUCCUCCACUGCAUGAACAGGUCCGCGCCACCCGAGAGUACACCACCCCUUUUAGGCGAUCCGUUGCCAGGAGGGUACGUGCCACUCUCGCCAUCUCUCCACGCCCAGUGCGCGAUUGUCUUUUCAUGUAUGGAAUAGCCGGGUUCAAGCUUACCCUGUCCCAUUCUCAGGGCAUGUGGCUAGAUAAGAUAGUCCUUGAUCAACAGGCCUACAUACGCAUCCAAUCCUUAAUUGACUCGGGCGGAGCAUCACCUGUUCCUAGCCCAAGUCUCGAUUUAAGUAUUUCCAUCCUUAGGAUUGUGUCUGUUCCUUAGGAUGAAAGAGCAUCACAGGGAACUUUGCAGUAAGAUCCCACUAUUGCUCCAAAUGAAAAUAUUCUUGCAGGUAGAGGCCAUCCUUUCUCGAGUUAAAUUAAGGACAACCUCUAUCCACAAGAUCUAAGCAAGGCUAAGCAUUUUUGUAAAUCAUAUUUUGAUACUUCACAGAAGUAUCUAUAAAGGUAUGGAUAUCAAGGAAAGCAAUGCAUCAAAGGGUUUCAAGUAAUUCCUAUGAACCUAAUGCACAUUUCACUAGACUUAAGUGUGCGAAAAGUAUUUAAAAACACAAGGAAAGGGGUUGCAUGCACCGGGGCUUGCCUUUGUUUGUAGGUGAGUCAGGCUCGGACUCGCAGAUGUCGAAGUAGAGCCAAGUCUCUGCCUGAGAUUCCAAAGGUGGUGAUGUCUUUUCUUCAGUCACUUCACCCUCUUCUCCGUUUUCUAAAUAUAACCAUAUAGGUAUAUAUAUAAGAAUGAAUGCCAUGUAAUGCAAACUAUCACAAAGAGGUGGAGAACAGAAACACUACAACUAAAGCACAUGACAAGAAUACACCUAUUUCUUAUCGCUCGAUUAAAGUGACCAAUUUGAAUUCACUUAGGUAAACCAGGGAAUUAAUCCAACUUAUAUCUCAUCCAAAAGCUUAAAACUUCUUAAGCAACUUUAUCUCUUCCCUAGAUAAACUUAUCUCCCUUCCAAAGCACUAACCCACACUUGAUUAGGGAUUAACCACUCUAUUUUGGGGCUUACAAGAUUUCUAGAGCAAAAAGCUUCCAAACAGCCCCAAACUUUUACCAAGUGAUCAGCUUCUGAUAACAAGUUUCUCCAAAAAUUUCCAUAAUUUUUGGUGCUCAAUUCUUAUUUCUAAAAUAUUAAUAGUCCUUUAAGAGCACCCUUAAUUCACUUAAUAUUUACUGACAGCUCUAAAAAUCCUACAACCAACUUCACUUAGAGAGAUCUUGAUUUAACACAUCCAACCCGGCUUCACAACCAACUUCAGAAGAACUCGAACCAGAUGCCCGUCGCGCUACUCCGGCGACCUGGCGCCCACAACGGCAGUGGGGCUGACCCUCUGCGCUCACUGACCAUUACUACAUGUGCCCAUAACUAGCAGUAAUAGACUACAACCUUUUGCUGCACGAGCCAAACACCUGCCUUCACUAGCCACGACACCUGUGAAGCAUCGUCUCGGCAAGCCUGAUCCCGAGGCCACCAUACAGUAGAGCCUUAAUCAAACGUGCAGAGAGUAUCACUAGUUUACCUGAAUCUUGGUGCCCAAGCAAAAUAGCUCGAGAAAACGUGGUUCGUCCGGUCGAUGAUGGGGUAGUUCUUGAUAGUGCUCCGCAACGUUGCGAACGCGUUAAGCCUGCAAACUUCUGAGGUGGUCCGGCCAUGGCGAUGUGGUGAGACGGUGGCACAGUCACCAGACAAGGAGAAGAUAACGCGCGACGGACUUAGGCAAAACGAAUGGCGAAACCAGGACCAUUGCUGAUUGUGAGGGCAUGAGCGAGAGAGACCCACAGCGAGCCUAGCCUAGUGAGCACAAGGUUGCGAAAGGCUUCAUUAAGCCGAGCAAUAUGGCACCGGAGAAAACAAAGGCCACUAGCUGCAUGCCCAUAUAGCGACGAGGAACCCUCUCGAGGGUGCCAGCUCUAAGCAAAACAAGGCACGUGGCCGCAAUGCAACGGCGCAUGGAUAACUGAAUUUCAGCAAAGCGGCAAAUUUUGGAUAACCAUCGCAUUCACCAAUCAGGACUGGAAGCACUGAACUCACUCGGCCUUACGUACCAUCCAUUCAAACCUCAACUUGCCUAAUGCACGUGGGGCACAGCAGGCGUGGAAAUCCUUCUGCUCCCAAGGACUAACCCAAGCUUCGGUCACCAGAAACUGAGCUCAAUUUUCAGCCAUCGAUGCCACGUACACCUCUGCGUGUCCCUCCAACCUUAUGGCCAUGCACAGCUCGGCACUCAACUAUAGGAAGUAAACAAGCAGCAGUAGGCGACAUGCAAAUGGAGCAUGCCGACCCCUUCGUCUCUGUCCAAACUGAAGCAACGUUUGGUUACACAGAAUGCGUGGCCACGACUUGGAGCAAAGCUUUCUCCCAAUUAUCAGUGGUCAUAGGUCGACCUUGGUUCACAAAGUUUGUUCACAAAACCAAGCUCAACAAGUUUUCUGCAAUAGCCCUAGGCCAAAGACUCACAUUCAAAAGUUAUGCGGCUUCAAAGGGGCAAAAAUACUGAAAUUCACUUUUCAGUUAACAUGUCUUUGAGCAAAACCUGACAGUCCAUCUUUAAACGAGAUUUACUCCAACACCAGUGCAGCAACCUACAACUGGCUUGUACCAAGAUUGCUCACUGAUACUCAGUCUUCAACUUUGUUUUAAUGGUUACUAGGAAAAGCUCAACUGACCUCAAGUUAUCGAGCACCAAAUUUAGGGCAGCACCAGCGAACUCAACAAUUCAGCCUAGCUGAAUUUGGUUCAGCACACCAAUGUCUGACAGAGCGACUUGGAGUAGCAUUUUCUCCCCUUUCUAAACAAGAUCAAGGAGAUAAACCUUAAUGGAAAUUAUUCAACACACUGCCCUAUAACACUUUGAUAUGGAUAGUGCAGGCCAUAACGUUAUAAGUUUAUCACAACAGAGAUCUGAAGUUUGCAAAAAAACGUUGAAACUGCACUUCAAUUUCUGAAUCAAGGUCCAGAAAUCACAAGUCUGACAGCUCCACCUUGAACCACCUUUUCUCCAAGUUGUAUAUAGCUCCAGGGCUGUGACACUCAAUAACAGUUGUUCUCUUAUACUUAUUCUACAAGUUUUCUAUAGUGAUCAUUAACCAAAACCUAUUGGAUUCCAAACUACAAUAGUCCAAAGUUUGCUCCAAUUGCUGAAAUUUAUGACUCUGAAUUCUACCAAGUCUGAAAUCGAGAAACUCAGUUAGCUCUACUUUGGACCAGUUUUUCUCUAAGUUCCAAAUAGCUUUAGGGCUAUAACCAUUAACCAAACUUAUACAUCAACUGUGGUCUUUCACUUUAGUACAGAAACUUUAACCAAUCAUUGUAUAGAUCAGCCACCAACAGGCUCCAAGGUUUCUUCAGAAUACAAAAACUGCAGUGCUGAAUUGUGCACUAAAUCUGAAAUUUAGAUUCUAAUAUUCCCAAUUUGGACCAGUUUUACACCUAGUUCCAUAUGGCUUUAACGUUAAGUAACUUAAACAAGUUUGUUCACCUAGGAUAGCUCUACAACUUAGCUACAGAGACCAUCUCCAAACUGCUUAUAAAUCAAAAGUUACAAUGGUCCAAAGUUGACUAGUUUAUAUUAUUUUCAGCACUUCCAAAAUGAACCCAAAACUGAAUUUUUGUACUUAACUCCAAAUUCUUCCACACAACUUGGGAAUCUCCAAAUAAGAAAGUUAUUCACUUUUCCAAGCUCUACCAUUUUGGUAUAUGGACUUUUAGCUAGAUCCUUCUAGAUCUUGAAUUCCCCUUUUGGGCUAGUUUUAGGGUUUCGAAUGAGUUUCAUUUGUAUUUCAGCUUCUUCCAGGGAUUCAUCCCUUUGAUCCCUCCACCUAGAGAAAAGUUACUCUCUAGCUCAAGAUCCAAUCUUUGAUACACAUAGCUCAUAUCCAAAAUCUCCUGGUUUAGAAUUUCCUUUACUUAAUCAUCUAUUCCAAGCAGAGCUCAAGUUAAGGUUUGGAGUUAUUCCAGCUUCUUAAGUGCUUCUUCCACUUGACCAUCGUUCCAAAACAAGGCUACUCUAGGCUCUAAGACUUACCUUUAACAUUUAAGACUCCAAAUCAACUUGUUACUUGCUUAAGAGGCGACCUACUCUUGUCUAGCUUAAGCCAAGUCCUUAACCCAACACAGAAUAUCACACUUUUUGAAAAAGUUUAACCUAGUGAAUGCAUUCUAAGUGUAACAAGCACAUUAAUGCAGAUGCUUAUGAUGACAUGUCAGAGUUUUAGUUUACGUAACACCAGGGGUGUUACAGCCUUCCCCCCUAAAAGAAAUCUCGUCCCGAGAUUUAAAAGUCUAGGCUCAGUAACGAAAAAGGAAUUGUGUCACAAACUUAUUUCCCAAUUUCUCCUACCAAACAGGGGGUGUGCCACUGUUGGUUUAAAAUUCACAAACCCUAAGGUUUUCCAAAAACUCAAAACUUAGGGCAAGGGCUUUGUCUUCUAAAUAUCCCUCUGACCAUCUACAUGGCUUCAUCUUCUGUGGGGUAGUUCCACUAUACUCCGUAAAACUUGAUAUCUUUCUGUGUUUUAUUCAAGAUAUUGCAUCUAAUUUGGGUAAAGUCUAUCCAUUUGUCCAAACUCACAUGGGAAAUUAGGUGAUACCAUUUCAUCACGAAACAUAAUUAGAAAUUAUGGUCUCAGCGUGUGCUAAGUCAUUUAUCCGCACACGUGCAUCCGCAUGGAAUAUCCAAAGGAAUAGCCACCAUAACUCUUGAAGUUUGACAAACUACUAUAGAUAUUAAAAGUUGCCUCUGAAACAGGCAGUCGUUUCUUACACCAUAGUCAUAGAAAAGCUCACAUGUUACAUGAUCCAGGUGAAACAGGAAUACUCUUUCCAACAAAGUCUAACCUGUUUUUAUUACCAAGCUGGUCUAUCUUACACCUACCUUACUACAUUGAUCUACUUCACUACACUCCCAGUUGCCUAUUACAUCUUCUCUAGCUACACCAUCUGCCAGAUACUUGUUGUCAUUCUUCCAAGGAACCCUUAGUCCGCUGAUGCCGGAGUAGGAUAAAAGGCAACAUUGAGCCUAUGCACUGUUUGCAGCAGAUGGUUGACAAGCCGUUGUGCUACUUGAAAUUCCAUUGGAUGGGCACGAUUCAAUUCCUGGAUCGCCUGAUCCUGAUGGCUUAUGAAGCUUAGGGUUUCCUUAAGGUCUUCGCUAACAGCAAUAGCACCCAAGCGAAUUUCUUCUUGUUGCUGACUCAGAACUUUUGAUUUAGAAUGAGCAUUAGUUAGCUGAUGCUCAAGCUCCUUAAUGCAAUUCUGAUCAGCUUGGUGUUGCGUCUGAAGUUCUGUCACCUGAUGCUCUAAUCCAAUAAUUCGCUCAGCUUGAAUCUUUGUGUCCUCCAGUUGUUCUUGUGCCUGGGUACAAGCCCUAUUCUUGGCCAUUUCCAUCAUCUUAAAUGCUGCAUAACUCCCAGUGUACAACUGCUGCCACAUUUGACGACUGUGCCCUCGAGUAAGCUGCAACUCUAGCACGACCAUCAAUACUCGAGCAGAUGCCGAUUCUACAGAAUCCUGCCCAAUAGGAAUGCUUUCCAAUAAUCGGGCCUGGUGAUGAUACACCAAUGGUUCACUUAAGGCAACUGCAGGGAACAACCUCAUAGAUGUGGCUUGUAUUUCUUCCCAUUUCUGGUAACAAAUGGUUGUUAGCGCCUCUAAGGCAGCUACCUGAGCACCUUCCCAAGGAGUCAUUCCUUCAGCAUGGAACAUACAAUGUGGCCAAGAUGGCUUUCUAGCACAUUCUGGAAUACGCACUACCACCUCAUACCAUGGUUGUCCUCUAAGAACAGUGCGCGACCACUGGUACUUAGGUGCUUCGGUAUAUCCAAAUUCUUGAAGUAGUCGCCACAGGACCACUGGAACACCAAAAUCUCGUAGAAACUCUCCAACUCCGGUAGGGGUUUCUUGUUGAUUCAUCUUCAGAGAAGAGCAACGGAACACUCUACUUACUAAAAAUGUAUGAACAAGGUAGCUACAUAGGGGGUUUAAUUUAAAGUUUGUAUGACAUGAUGCAUGUGUAAAUACAGAAUCAACCUUAGUUGAUUCAUCCUUCUAUACGUUGCACUCUUCCUAUCUGGUCUUUUAAGAUAAACUCUUCAGAAUACUUAGGUAAGAAAGGAAGAAAGUUUCUAGGUAAGAAUUUUAGAAAAUCCUUUUGAAGAUGCCUCAUAAUAUCUGCAGAGAAGGGCUACGCUCCGAUACCAGCUGUGACGGAACCUCCCAAGUAAUUAGGCCCACCUACAGUUGUCCUUGUCCAACGGACCUCAGACAACCCUGUAGGUGUUCCUAAAUCACUUGACAAGCUCGGUAUCUUUCCUUACCUUUCCAGGAACGUUUCACCCGUCUUGCAGACAUUACAGAACAUCGGAGAUAAAGAAAUGCGGAAGCUAUUACAUAAACUUACAUUUAUUUAGAAAGUAAGAUCAAGUUACUUAUUACAGACCAGAGCUAUAAAACGAGUGCUGAGUAGUACACAUUUCAAGGGAGGCAAAAACUCCUCCCGAUAGCUUUAAACAAAAAGUCCUAUAUGGAGGACCACAUCCUCCCGCAUCUUCACUCUUGUUUUUCUUCAUUUGAUACCACCUUGGAGCAAAAGCAACAAAAAUUUGUCGCUUCCUCACCU
RNAcentral lists this long non-coding RNA (7378 nucleotides) under Zea mays. Its description in RNAcentral is "long non-coding RNA (ZMAY_LNC005824)". The record is from RNAcentral. Lineage: Eukaryota; Viridiplantae; Streptophyta; Magnoliopsida; Poales; Poaceae.